AGUGAACGCUGGCGGUAGGCCUAACACAUGCAAGUCGAACGGCAGCACAGUAAGAGCUUGCUCUUACGGGUGGCGAGUGGCGGACGGGUGAGGAAUACAUCGGAAUCUACUUUUUCGUGGGGGAUAACGUAGGGAAACUUACGCUAAUACCGCAUACGACCUACGGGUGAAAGCAGGGGAUCUUCCGACCUUGCGCGAUUGAAUGAGCCGAUGUCGGAUUAGCUAGUUGGCAGGGUAAAGGCCCACCAAGGCGACGAUCCGUAGCUGGUCUGAGAGGAUGAUCAGCCACACUGGAACUGAGACACGGUCCAGACUCCUACGGGAGGCAGCAGGUGGGAAUAUUGGACAAAGGGCGCAAGCCUGAUCCAGCCAUACCGCGUGGGUGAAGAAGGCCUUCGGGUUGUAAAGCCCUUUUGUUGGGAAAGAAAAGCAGCAGGUUAAUACCCCGCUGUUCUGACGGUACCCAAAGAAUAAGCACCGGCUAACUUCGUG
RNAcentral lists this ribosomal RNA (492 nucleotides) under uncultured bacterium. Its description in RNAcentral is "partial 16S ribosomal RNA". It matches the Rfam family "Bacterial small subunit ribosomal RNA", at positions 29 to 507 of the family's 1533-position model. The record is from RNAcentral.